Molecule: long non-coding RNA, 6644 nt
Filed under: Sus scrofa (pig)
Lineage: Eukaryota; Metazoa; Chordata; Mammalia; Artiodactyla; Suidae
Description: lncRNA (ENSSSCG00000062230.1)
Source: RNAcentral
GCUCCCGCAGCAUAUGGAGGUUCCCAGGCUAGGGGUCGAAUCGGAGCUGUAGCUGCCAGUCCACGCCAGAGCCACAGCAACGUGGGAUCCAAGCCGCGUCUGCAACCCACACCACAGCUCACGGCAAUGCCGGAUCCUUAACCCACUGAGCAAGGGCAGGGAUCGAACCCUCAACCUCAUGGUUCCUAGUCGGAUUCAUUAACCACUGCGCCACGAUGGGAACUCCUCUAUUUUUAAUGUUUUGAGGAACCUCCAUAUAUCUUUCUAUAGUGGCUGAACAAAUUUACAUUACCAUCAGUAGUGUACUAGAGCUCCCUUUCUUCCACAUCUUCACCAGCAUUUGUUUUCUCUUGUCUUUUUUUAUAAUAGCCAUUUUAGCAGGUGUGAGGUGAUAUCUCAUUAUGGUUUUGAUUUGCAUUUCCAUGAUGAUUAGUGUUGUCGAGCACCUUUUCAUGUAUUUGCUGGCAAUUUGUACGUCUUCUUUGGAAAACUGGCCAGAUUCUUUGCACAUUUUUUAAUCAGAUUGUUUUUUGCUAUUGAGUUAUAUAAGUUACUUACAUAUUUUGGAUGUUAACCUCUUAACAGGUAUACAGUUUGUAUUUUCUCCCAUUCUGCAGUUUCUCUUUUUUUUGCUGGUUUCUUUUGAUAUGUAGAAACUUUUGAGUUUGCUGCCGUCAUACUUGUUUAUUUUUGCUUUUGUUGCUUGUGCUUUUGGUAUCAUACCGCACCCCCCCCCCAAAUCAAUGCCAAGACCAGUGUCAAGGACUUUUUCCCUACAUUACUCACUUAGGGCUUAUACAGCUACAUUAGCUUGUUUUAGAAGUUAUUUGCUCAAUGGUUUAUUUGAAUUUCAUCUUCAGAAAUGAACAAUUUGUAGUUGACAAGGAAAAGGAACCAAAAAACACUUUAGUAUUCCAAACUACUAUAUUUUAAAUAUAUUCACAUUAUGAGGACUGACUGUUCUCUGAAAAGCACCAAGUCUUUCACCUCCCUAGUAUGUACGCAUACUUAUUUCUCAGCUAAAAUGGUUCAAUAGAGCCAUUCUUAUUCCCUUGAAAUACUCCUUCCCCUACUACCAGCUCAAUUCUUUCUAUUUUUCAUAUGCAGUGCUCUGAAUUUUCUAAAGCUUCUCUGCCGCUGACUACCUUAUCUCUCUUUUUGGACCAGUUAAGACAUAUGAAUAAUUAUUUAACUAUAAAAUCAUCAAUACUCUCUAAAUAACUGCCUAAACAAUUUAGCUCAGGAGUACCUUUAUUUUUGCAUAUAUUUAUAUUACAUUCUCAGAAGAAGCCAUCGUUUCCCUUUGAAAAAAAUACUUCAGUCACAUAAAAAGAAAACUAAAAUGUCCUCUGUAGAGUGAAGAGAACAAGAAAAGAAACUCUGAAUAUAGUACUGAAUUUUCAUUAUUUUUUCUUUCACAAAAAUAUUUUUUGAGUGUCUAAUAGGUGCUAGUCACUGUUCUAAGAGCUAAUGACAUGGCAAUAAAUAUAAAAGAUGGGAGAUUUGCCAUGAAGGAGCAUGUAUACAUGCAUACAUACAUAUCUAUAACAGAACACCAGUCUGCAAUAAAAAGAAAGAGCAGAGUAAGAUGACAAAGAGUGAUUAUUCUUCAUGCAUCCUUCUAAGUCCUGCUUGACUCCUCCAUUUUCCUGUUUUUCACUGGUCACAAAGAGCUAACUCUCAUGUUCUUUGGAAUACAUUAUCAAGCCCACAUAUGGCUGGCCAGAAAGGCAAAUUCCACGUCCUGUGAUAUGGCAUUGCAUCUAAAUCCAUAAGUCAGCAGAGAUGUAGACCUGAUAGAAUUUUUUAGACUUCUGUUAGCUCUAGAGGCUCAAUAAAGAUGAUGGUAGUGUGGCAUGGUUCAGGAGGUGGGUGGCAUGCAUCUUUAGAACAAAGGAAAUAAUCAAGGGACUCUUAGGAGACAUAAUUUUAUGUUCCAUGUAGAAUAUUUACUGAAAUGGAGAAGGCUGCAAGAGGGAUUUGGGUGAGAAAUUAGAGUUCCAUUUUGGACAUAUUAAGUUGAGAUGCACUUAAUAUAGCCAAUGGACAUGGAGAAUAGGCAGUUGAAUAUUUGAGUUUGGAAUUAAAUGGAGAGGUUAAAACUAAAAAUAAAAUGGGGCAUGUUGCUGUAUAUGGCAUCUAAAGCCAAUUGAAUUGGAUGAGAACAUUUAGGGAGAAAGUAUGAAAUGAUGAGCACUGAGCCAUGGGUAUUAAAGCCUUGUGAGGAUGGGAACCAGGCCAGCUUAAUGCACACACAACUUGUGUGGUCACACAGGAGGACCCUGUGCUUAAAAGGCCCUAUGCUUGGUUUAAUUCACUGUUCACACUUACUUGAAAUUCCUAAUAAUUUUUAAAUACAGGCCCUGCAUUUUAAUUUUGUACACACACUACAAAUUAUCUCGCAGGCCCUGGUUGGGAACAUAAGGAUUGGGCAUAGUCAAGAGCCAAUGAAGUAGACUGAAAACCAAGCAGUGUGUUAGUGUUGUCAUAAAAGCCAAGUGAAGAAAGUGUAUAGGGGUGAACAGAGUGAGUAACAGUCUCAAAAGCUGCUGCAAGUUAAUGUUAUCCUUGGCCUGAACUCUGAUCACUGGAUUUUGUAACUUCAGUGUGAUGGUUGCCCAGGAUGAACCGGGUUGUAGAGAGAAGAGAGGAGGAUAAGAACAAGCAAGCACUUUUCCUGUCCAUAGGAAAGCUUAAAACUGGGGGAGGAGCCAAGAGAGACAAGGCUUUUCUAAAAGGGAUAUUAUUAUGGCAUAUUUUUUUUUCUCUUGAUAAUGACUCAGUAAAAAAGGAAGGGAAAUGAUAACGCAAGGGUGGAAAUAAUUACAGAAACAGAAUUGUUUAUUUGUUUUAAUGACCACACCUGUGGCAUAUGGAAGUUCCUGGGCUGGGGAUUGAACCUGUGCCUCCACAGCAACCCAAACUGCUGCAGUCAGAUUCCUAACCCACUGUGCCACAGUAGGAACUCCAGAAGCAAAGUUUUUGAAACUAGAAGGAUGGGAUCUAGUGCUAAGUGGAAGGUUUGUCCUAAGAAGGCAAAGUGCAAUGGACAGCACCUGUGCCUAGAGCACUUUGUAGAAAGAUCUGAACUGACUGCUUCUGUAUAAGAGUCAAAGUCUUCAGUUGAAAUUGGAAGUGAAGAGGGGGUGUUGAGGUUUGAGGAAAGAGAAAAGAGUGUGAAACCAUCCUCUAAGAGGAUGGGUAAGUGGAUGGGCCUAGAACUGACAGGAAGGACUAAGGUCCACUGAAGGGCUCAGCUACAUGAAAAUAUAUACCGCCAGUAAAGCAUGCUGAAAUAUUCAAGCCAGCUAUCUCUGGUGAUGGUUUCUUCUUUGCAACCUUCUGAAUCUCCAAAGUUUCCCUAACAGACAUAUAUCACUUUCACAAUUAGCCUUCUAAAAUUGUUAUGGAAGGGUGAAGAGAAGCACAUUAAUAUAUGAGGGAGGUGCUUAUGAUUUGUGGGAAGUGAGUGGGGAAUCAAAGAGAACAGACAUGUCAUUCUGGCUGCCUCUAAAAGCACUGCCCUGGACUAGAUGAAGAGCAGUCCAACUUUAUGCAGAAAUGAGGAACAAGAAAAAUAUCUUUGAUCCUUUCUUAGGCCUUCAGGUUUACUCUAUGUCGAGGCUUGAGCCACUGAUUAUAUUUCUCAGUUGGGUUUGAAAGUCCUACUGGUGGAUAUCUUCCCCAGUGCUGGCACCAGGUUGGCUGCUGUUCUUGGUUUUUUCAGAAAUGAUGUACGCUCUCACCCUGCAUCUUCAUGACUGUUUUGAUGGGAAGCUGGGGAGGCUCUGUAAAGGAUGAACCAGCCACCUCUUAUACCAGAAAGUCAUUAAUAUUUUAAGUUUUCUUGCUUGUUAAAAUGGUUAAAAGUAUCUAUCUCUUCUCAGAAGUUGAAGUCCUUGACAUCUACUCUUGGAGUGUCCUUAGUCAUUUUUAUUUGUCAUCUUAUCAGUUUUGCCUGCUAUUUUUUAAAAGUGCAAAUUAAGACCAUUGUUCCAAAAAGGAAUUUCAGAGAUAGUACAUUGUUAUGAAGGGGUUGUUACUAAUUCCAAAACAUUUUCACUCUCUUAGACCCUGUAAUAUUAUCUCAUAUGUGCUUUUAAUUUUAUCCAUGAUAGAUGGGGUGGUGAAUGGGGAAUUUCAGGGCAACAUUUUUGACCACGUUCCUCUGAGAAAUUUACCCUCAUAUUUCUUCUAAAAUCUUUAUUGAGAUAAUAAAUCUCGGCUCUCAGGACAAGAUGUGGGAAUUAGAUCCUAUGACUGUUAACACAUCCCAUGGAGCUCAGCUGUGUGGAUGCAGAGGCAGUAACUCUGUGUGAGGUGCGAGGUAGGGUGUGUUUUUGGAACCCUGAGUGUGGUGAGCUGAAGAUUUAAGAGCCAAUGGCAGUUGUGGAAGCCAAGUCCAGGGUUUUACAUUAGGAUAAAAUGGGAGGGGUGGAUAUUUCUCUUGUGGUGGAAAUAAUUAACUUAACAAUAUGUAUUUGGAUUAUGUCGCCCUUCAUGAAAUGCAGAAACUCAGUGGUGAAUUUCUGUCAUAAUGAAUUUCUCACAUAAUAAGCCUCCUAUAUAAAUGUACUUGUUCUUUGUAUUCAUAUGUGAAUGUAAAUUCUUAAAAGGACAGUUAUUUUAAUAUUAGUUUAUUUUCAUUGCUAUUGAGAAAAAAGAUAAAAUAGAUGAAGAGUACUGUAUGAGCAGUGGAUCUAAUUAUAAAAACAUAAUGGAACUUUGGGUGAUGUUAAUGUUUAUCUACAAAUCAAUUGAAGAGAAUUAUUUACAGCUAGGCGUUUCUUUUCAUGAAAGAUUGUGUAUGAUUUACAUUAUAUGGACUAAAAUGGGGAGGUGGAUCAUUGUGGUUAUUAUGGGUGAAAAACUCAAGAUAUGCUUAGAAGCAGAUUUUUAGAACCGUAAGAGGAAGGGAUCAAAGAGCAGUAUGAUCAGUAUCUCACUAGACAAUGACUAGAGUUGUUUUGGAAGGUGUUGAAAGAUGAAAGACAAGGAAAUAAACCCUUAUUGCCUGGAACUCCUGGCAGUCAAGCAAGCUUAAAUUGGUAUCUUUGAGAGUCAGUAAGUCUCAUUUACCUUAUUUGUGCAAUGAAAACAAUACCUACAUGAUAGGUGGUGGUAUUUAAAUAAGAAAACACACACACAUACACAUCUUGGUUAUGUGACAAGUUUAAAACAUUGUAGUUUUAUCGUUAGGUCCCUUAGAGAUGGCAUCUAUGGCCAAAGGGUCAUAAAAACUAGCCCUUGAGAAUUAGAAGAUACCCCAACUUUGGGAACAACAUAUGAGUUCAAGCACCUAUAGUAUCUGUGAGGCUGUCUCUCCUUUCUUCACUGGCAAAACUAGGAUUCUGUUAUGAUUGUAGGACCUCUUUUCAUACCCACAAUCCUAGAUGCUUUGGGACACCUGCAGAGAGGUUGCAGAUUUUGUCCAACACUGAUAAUUAACCUCUCCUUUUUCACAGCCAGAAUAGAGCACUGACCUCAGCCUUUUUUCGGGGCAGUGGGGGAGCAGAGUAAGGGAGGUGGUGCUUCUCAUCAGGAGAUGACUCUACUUAAGUCAUAGAAAACCUUGCCAGUUUGGGUGGAGGAUAACCACAGGUCCUGCAUGGCUGGUCAGGGAAUCAGUCACUGGCUCUGCUUCAGCCAUCCAGGAGUCUGGUGGUUGAGGAAGAUCACAGGGUGAUCUGAUAGAGGACUUGCAGAAGAAGAGGAAUAAGUCCAUCUCUCUCAGACUCAUUAUAGUCCCCUAAAGCAUUAGUGACAUUUUUGUUUAAUACUGAUACAGGGAAAACUUUAGUUCAUUGACCUUAGAAAUAAUUACAGCUUUUUGGCAAGCUUUUGUUCGUGGAAACUGGAAGCACUUCCAAACACUUUAAUGAUGCUUAUUAUCUUAACCAGCACCUGUCCUUUACCCUCCCUUGAAUACUCCAAAAAAAAAAGUUAACUAAAAGAGAGAAUGAUUCAUUCCAUACCCUGAUGUUUUUUUAUGACCACAGCUGUGGCCACUUCAGUGUCCAGCAAAUUGUUUCUUUGGCGAGUGACCUAGGGAGGGGCGGAAAGUGGAGUGGAAGAGGCCUCUGGAAAGUCUUUAACAGUGGGGCGUAUUCUCUCCUAGUUGACUCCAAGAAAUUCCCACUCAUGGAAUCUGGCCUAUCAUAAAUAACUUUUCUUUUCUAUACUUGAUUCAACUUAAUAAAUCAUGUCAGCAAACUAUGGUGAAUGAUGACUGUUCUUCACUCAACAGAACAAUAGCCUUCCAAGAUGAAGCUCUGGGAGGGUAGCCAUCUAUCAGUUCCAGUGUCCUCCUGGUGGGCACAGUCUUCUAUCUCAGUUGGCUGGUUCCUCUUGUUCAUGAACUGCCUUUGUUGGCCUUAAUUCUAAAAUAGCAUCUCUUUAAGAUGCAGGAAAGUGACAUUUGCCAUUUGUCAUCAAAGAGGAAAAUUCUCAAUGAGAUUUUCUUUUUAGAAACUCAUCUUUUAAAAAAUCAUGUCCAAGCUAGCAACAUUUAGAAAAUCCAGAAGCUCCUUUUUUUGUUUUUGUUUUUGUUUUAAAAAUAACUUUGUCCUGGAGUUCCCAUUGUGGCUCAACAGUAACAAACCUGACUAGUAUCCAUGAGGAUGCAGGUUCAAUCCCUGGCCUCG